AGGUGAAGGCCACAGACAAGUCCAAGAUCUUUCCCUCAGUGAACAGACUCCCUGUGUCGCAAGAAAGUCUCCUUUGAUGAGUCUUGCAUAGCAGUUGAUUAAAACUGUUAAAUGAAGCGUUUAAUGUGAAUUUAAAGUCACGUGUCAACUCAUUUUCAUCAUUUCUCAAGUUUGCAUUUCAGACACACAGUGAAGCAUUGAAGAGGUCUAAUGUCUGAUUUCAGUUCAGUGAGGAUGAUUCCCAAAGACAGUAUCUCCCCCAUUAUCUUCUGCCUUCAGCUCAUGCAAGAUAAAAUAG
Long non-coding RNA from Pezoporus occidentalis (night parrot), 298 nucleotides. RefSeq lists it as uncharacterized. The record is from RefSeq and is a predicted model, not a curated record. Lineage: Eukaryota; Metazoa; Chordata; Aves; Psittaciformes; Psittacidae. The transcript is spliced from 3 exons.